This 87-nucleotide transfer RNA is filed under the name compost metagenome. Its description in RNAcentral is "tRNA-Ser". The record is from RNAcentral.
AGGUGCUGGCCGAUGCCAGCGAUGCCGCGCUGCUGUCGCGGGUGGAACAGGAGGUCGCACGUCCGUUCGACCUCGGGCAGGGCCCGC